Molecule: ribosomal RNA, 492 nt
Filed under: uncultured bacterium
Lineage: Bacteria
Description: partial 16S ribosomal RNA
Rfam family: Bacterial small subunit ribosomal RNA
Source: RNAcentral
AGUGAACGCUGGCGGUAGGCCUAACACAUGCAAGUCGAACGGCAGCACAGUAAGAGCUUGCUCUUACGGGUGGCGAGUGGCGGACGGGUGAGGAAUACAUCGGAAUCUACUUUUUCGUGGGGGAUAACGUAGGGAAACUUACGCUAAUACCGCAUACGACCUACGGGUGAAAGCAGGGGAUCUUCGGACCUUGCGCGUUUGAAUGAGCCGAUGUCGGAUUAGCUAGUUGGCGGGGUAAAGGCCCACCAAGGCGACGAUCCGUAGCUGGUCUGAGAGGAUGAUCAGACACACUGGAACUGAGACACGGUCCAGACUCCUACGGGAGGCAGCAGUGGGGAAUAUUGGACAAUGGGCGCAAGCCUGAUCCAGCCAUACCGCGUGGGUGAAGAAGGCCUUCGGGUUGUAAAGCCCUUUUGUUGGGAAAGAAAAGCAGCAGGUUAAUACCCCGCUGUUCUGACGGUACCCAAAGAAUAAGCACCGGCUAACUUCGUG